RNAcentral lists this long non-coding RNA (233 nucleotides) under Gallus gallus (chicken). The record is from RNAcentral. Lineage: Eukaryota; Metazoa; Chordata; Aves; Galliformes; Phasianidae.
CCACAGAGAACAAAAUCCUGGAGGUGUUCUGCAGAGCAGGUAGGCACCUCAGAUUUCUCUUUCCAGCAACCUCCUUUGGAGGCCAUCAGUGGCCGGAGCUGCUCUGCUGUCACAUUUAAAGGGAGAUGCAUCCAGGCUGGACAGACUGGCUGGACUCUGAUGGAAACCAUUUCAACCCCAGCAAGAGGAUGGUUUUCGACUGGAUACAAACGCCAUGCAUAUUACAAGUAAGU